Molecule: long non-coding RNA, 277 nt
Filed under: Olea europaea subsp. europaea
Lineage: Eukaryota; Viridiplantae; Streptophyta; Magnoliopsida; Lamiales; Oleaceae
Source: RNAcentral
CUUUGGAUUCUCUCUGAGUUGUUUGGUUUUCCUUUGUGUUCUUCAUUCUCUUCUCUGGAACUUCUGGUUUCAAAUUUUAAAUGUAAAAUUGUUGAGUCUUUGUGAUUCUUGUAGUAAAGGAAACUGUUGAUGUGUGUGUGGUGUCAUUUUGGUAUGUUGAAGUAGCUACUUUUCGUGUAUUGAGGGUUAGGGUUUGGCUCUUAUACUUGAACAGAUGGGUACAAUGAUUUGAGCCCUAGGUUUUUCCAGAUCCUUGAUGUAAAUGAUUGAUUCUGGG